UGACGCUGGCGGCGUGCUUAACACAUGCAAGUCGAACGAACCUUCGGGUUAGUGGCGGACGGGUGAGUAACGCGUGAGAAUCUGCCCUCAGGAGGGGGAUAACGGUUGGAAACGACCGCUAAUACCCCAUAUGCCGAUAGGUGAAAUGAAUUUCGCCUGAGGAUGAGCUCGCGUCUGAUUAGCUUGUUGGUGAGGUAAUGGCUCACCAAGGCUUCGAUCAGUAGCUGGUCUGAGAGGAUGAUCAGCCACACUGGGACUGAGACACGGCCCAGACUCCUACGGGAGGCAGCAGUGGGGAAUUUUCCGCAAUGGGCGAAAGCCUGACGGAGCAACGCCGCGUGAGGGACGAAGGCCUCUGGGCUGUAAACCUCUUUUCUCAAGGAAGAAGAUAUGACGGUACUUGAGGAAUAAGCCACGGCUAAUUCCGUGCCAGCAGCCGCGGUAAUACGGGAGUGGCAAGCGUUAUCCGGAAUUAUUGGGCGUAAAGCGUCCGCAGGCGGCCUUUCAAGUCUGCUGUUAAAGCGUGGAGCUUAACUCCAUUAAGGCAGUGGAAACUGAUAGGCUUGAGUAUGGUAGGGGCAGAGGGAAUUCCCGGUGUAGCGGUGAAAUGCGUAGAUAUCGGGAAGAACACCAGUGGCGAAGGCGCUCUGCUGGGCCAUUACUGACGCUCAUGGACGAAAGCCAGGGGAGCGAAAGGGAUUAGAUACCCCUGUAGUCCUGGCCGUAAACGAUGAACACUAGGUGUCGGGGGAAUCGACCCCUUCGGUGUCGUAGCUAACGCGUUAAGUGUUCCGCCUGGGGAGUACGCACGCAA
RNAcentral lists this ribosomal RNA (814 nucleotides) under uncultured cyanobacterium. RNAcentral's name for it is "bacterial SSU rRNA". It matches the Rfam family "Bacterial small subunit ribosomal RNA", at positions 31 to 891 of the family's 1533-position model. Lineage: Bacteria; Bacillati; Cyanobacteriota. The record is from RNAcentral.